UUCACCCAUGCAGUUAAUGCAGUAAGGCCCGUGGCGAGACCACCACGUUGAUAGGCCGGAAGUGUACAGAUGGCAACAUCUUCAGCUGACCGGUACUAAUCGGCCGAGGGCUUGGAUUU
RNAcentral lists this ribosomal RNA (119 nucleotides) under Acidimicrobiia bacterium BACL6 MAG-120924-bin43. RNAcentral describes it as "partial 23S ribosomal RNA". It matches the Rfam family "Bacterial large subunit ribosomal RNA", at positions 2809 to 2925 of the family's 2925-position model. The record is from RNAcentral. Lineage: Bacteria; Bacillati; Actinomycetota; Acidimicrobiia.